ACGGGUGAGUAAUGUCUGGGGAUCUGCCCGAUAGAGGGGGAUAACCACUGGAAACGGUGGCUAAUACCGCAUAACGUCGCAAGACCAAAGAGGGGGACCUUCGGGCCUCUCACUAUCGGAUGAACCCAGAUGGGAUUAGCUAGUAGGCGGGGUAACGGCCCACCUAGGCGACGAUCCCUAGCUGGUCUGAGAGGAUGACCAGCCACACUGGAACUGAGACACGGUCCAGACUCCUACGGGAGGCAGCAGUGGGGAAUAUUGCACAAUGGGCGCAAGCCUGAUGCAGCCAUGCCGCGUGUAUGAAGAAGGCCUUCGGGUUGUAAGGUACUUUCAGCGGGGAGGAAGGCGAUGUGGUUAAUAACCGCGUCGAUUGACGUUACCCGCAGAAGAAGCACCGGCUAACUCCGUGCCAGCAGCCGCGGUAAUACGGAGGGUGCAAGCGUUAAUCGGAAUUACUGGGCGUAAAGCGCACGCAGGCGGUCUGUUAAGUCAGAUGUGAAAUCCCCGGGCUUAACCUGGGAACUGCAUUUGAAACUGGCAGGCUUGAGUCUCGUAGAGGGGGGUAGAAUUCCAGGU
RNAcentral lists this ribosomal RNA (576 nucleotides) under uncultured bacterium. RNAcentral describes it as "bacterial SSU rRNA". It matches the Rfam family "Bacterial small subunit ribosomal RNA", at positions 102 to 674 of the family's 1533-position model. The record is from RNAcentral.